CUGCAGCCCGAGUGGUGAUCGAUUUUAUUGAGCCUAAAGCGUCCGUAGCCGGACUAGUAAACCCUUGGGUAAAUUGGGCAGCUUAACUGUCCGAAUUCCGAGGGGACUGCUAGUCUUGGGACCGGGAGAGGUCAGAGGUACUCCAGGGGUAGGGGCUAAACCCGAUAUGCUUUCGUGGCAUUCGGUUAGCAUUCCUGUAAUCCUUGGGGGACCACCAGUGGCGAAGGCGUCUGACUAGAACGGAUCCGACGGUAAGGGACGAAACCCUGGGGCGCGAACCGGAUUAGAUACCCGCGUAGUCC
This 302-nucleotide ribosomal RNA is filed under the name uncultured archaeon. RNAcentral's name for it is "partial 16S ribosomal RNA". It matches the Rfam family "Archaeal small subunit ribosomal RNA", at positions 477 to 747 of the family's 1478-position model. The record is from RNAcentral.